CAAGGAAUCUUCCGCAAUGGGCGAAAGCCUGACGGAGCAACGCCGCGUGUGGGAUGACGCCUUUCGGGGUGUAAACCACUUUUCUCAGGGAAGAAGCACUGACGGUACCUGAGGAAUAAGGACCGGCUAACUACGUGCCAGCAGCCGCGGUAAUACGUAGGGUCCGAGCGUUGUCCGGAGUUACUGGGCGUAAAGCGCGCGCAGGCGGCGGUGUAAGCAUGGCGUGAAAGCCCCAGGCUUAACCUGGGAGGGUCGUCGUGGACUGCACCGCUUGAGGGCGGUAGGGGCUGGUGGAAUGCCUGGUGUAGUGGUGAAAUGCGUAGAGAUCAGGCGGAACACCCGUGGCGAAGGCGGCCAGCUGGGCCGUCCCUGACGCUGAGGCGCGAAGGCGUGGGGAGCGAACGGG
This 406-nucleotide ribosomal RNA is filed under the name Bacillota bacterium. RNAcentral's name for it is "Firmicutes bacterium partial 16S ribosomal RNA". It matches the Rfam family "Bacterial small subunit ribosomal RNA", at positions 355 to 776 of the family's 1533-position model. The record is from RNAcentral. Lineage: Bacteria; Bacillati; Bacillota.